GGAAAGAAUAGGCAGGAAUGUUUUCAGAGCCAGUUCCUCAAUUUCUCCAGGUUCCAAAAAGCUGCAAGACGAUACUCACCUCUUCAGGGUCUCCACAUCCCCUGAAUAUCAUAUUCAGCUGUUGUUCUCAUCACAUCAGACAUACCAGAGAUGCUUUUAAAGUUCUACAAGCAACAUUUUCAUGUUCAAUGUGGAGGUCCAAGAAACUAACUUGGGAAAGGAGAGGGAAAGUUCUCAUUUUCAUAUGCUGGUAAGACAUUCUAGUGCUACCAUGUCAAAAUAUAAGCUUUAAAAUUGUAGACCAGUGGUGGUG
Molecule: long non-coding RNA, 313 nt
Organism: Pan paniscus (pygmy chimpanzee)
Lineage: Eukaryota; Metazoa; Chordata; Mammalia; Primates; Hominidae
Source: Ensembl